RNAcentral lists this ribosomal RNA (375 nucleotides) under uncultured bacterium. RNAcentral's name for it is "bacterial SSU rRNA". It matches the Rfam family "Bacterial small subunit ribosomal RNA", at positions 524 to 898 of the family's 1533-position model. The record is from RNAcentral.
UACGAAGGGGGCUAGCGUUGUUCGGAAUUACUGGGCGUAAAGGGCGCGUAGGCGGCUUGACAAGUUGGGUGUGAAAGCCCAGGGCUCAACCCUGGAAUUGCACUCAAGACUGUCUUGCUUGAAUUCGGUAGAGGUUGGUGGAAUUCCCAGUGUAGAGGUGAAAUUCGUAGAGAUUGGGAAGAACACCCGUGGCGAAGGCGGCCAACUGGACCGACAUUGACGCUGAGGCGCGAAAGCGUGGGGAGCAAACAGGAUUAGAUACCCUGGUAGUCCACGCCGUAAACGAUGCAUGCUAGACGUUGGAGGGCUUAGCUCUCUUGUGUCGCAGCUAACGCACUAAGCAUGCCGCCUGGGGAGUACGGCCGCAAGGUUGAA